This 342-nucleotide unclassified non-coding RNA is filed under the name soil metagenome. Its description in RNAcentral is "partial contains 5.8S ribosomal RNA, internal transcribed spacer 2, and large subunit ribosomal RNA". The stretch from base 1 to 116 matches the Rfam family "5.8S ribosomal RNA", at positions 38 to 154 of the family's 154-position model. The record is from RNAcentral.
GAUGAACGUAGCGAAAUGCGAUACGUAAUGUGAAUUGCAAAUUCAGUGAAUCAUCGAGUCUUUGAACGCACAUUGCGCCCCCUGGUAUUCCGGGGGGCAUGCCUGUCCGAGCGUCAUUGCUGCCCUCAAGCACGGCUUGUGUGUUGGGCCCCGUCCUCCGAUCCCGGGGGACGGGCCCGAAAGGCAGCGGCGGCACCGCGUCCGGUCCUCGAGCGUAUGGGGCUUUGUCACCCGCUCUGUAGGCCCGGCCGGCGCUUGCCGAUCAACCCAAAUUUUUAUCCAGGUUGACCUCGGAUCAGGUAGGGAUACCCGCUGAACUUAAGCAUAUCAAUAAGCGGAGGA